UACGUCCAUAUCACGUUGAAAUUCCAGUUCUCUUACGAUCACCGAAGUUAAGCAACGUUCUGCUUGGUUAGUACCUAGAUGGGUGACCGAUUUGGAAUAUAAGAUGCUGUAAG
Molecule: ribosomal RNA, 113 nt
Filed under: Acanthosepion pharaonis
Lineage: Eukaryota; Metazoa; Mollusca; Cephalopoda; Sepiida; Sepiidae
Source: RNAcentral